GGGCCCCAGAAUGUGAACAGGCCUUCCAACAGCUCAAGACGGCGCUCAUUAAAUCACCUGUACUUUCUUCUCCUGAUCCAACUAAACACUUUCUCGUCCAUACAGACGCUUCUAUGCUUGGAUUGGGAGCAGUAUUGAGCCAAGUCGGAGCAGAUUGUGGCUAGCAACCCGGGGCUUAUCUAAGCCGUAAACUUUUGCACAGCGAAGUAUAUUCACUGCCAUUGAAAAGGAGUGCAUAGCGG
Non-coding RNA from Pelobates cultripes (western spadefoot toad), 242 nucleotides. NCBI's taxonomy places the organism in Eukaryota, Metazoa, Chordata, Amphibia, Anura, Pelobatidae. The record is from the annotation of a GenBank genome assembly.